GGGUCAGUAGGUUGGUCGUGCCACCGGUACGUACUGGUCUCACUGAUUCCUCCUUCCUGACGAACCGUAAUGCCAUUAAUGUGGUGUUGCGGGGAAACAGGACUGUUACUUUGAAAAAAUUAGAGUGUUUAAAGCAAGCUAACGCUUGAAUACAUUAGCAUGGAAUAAUGAAAUAGGACGAUCGAUCCUAUUUUGUUGGUUUCUAGGAUUGACGUA
Molecule: ribosomal RNA, 216 nt
Filed under: Glomeromycotina sp.
Lineage: Eukaryota; Fungi; Glomeromycota
Description: partial small subunit ribosomal RNA
Rfam family: Eukaryotic small subunit ribosomal RNA (bases 40-216)
Source: RNAcentral